Molecule: ribosomal RNA, 499 nt
Filed under: uncultured bacterium
Lineage: Bacteria
Description: bacterial SSU rRNA
Rfam family: Bacterial small subunit ribosomal RNA
Source: RNAcentral
AACGAACGCUGGCGGCGCGCCUAAUACAUGCAAGUCGAGCGAGAAGACGUAGCAAUACGUUUGUAAAGCGGCGAACGGGUGAGGAAUACAUGGGUAACCUACCCUAGAGUGGGGAAUAACUAGCCGAAAGGUUAGCUAAUACCGCGUACGCUCCUUGGACUUCGGUUCAGGGAGGAAAGCGAUACCGUGGGUAUCGCGCUCUUGGAUGGGCUCAUGUCCUACCAGCUUGUUGGGAGGUAACGGCUCACCAAGGCUUCGACGGGUAGCUGGUCUGAGAGGACGAUCAGCCACACUGGCACUGCGACACGGGCCAGACUCCUACGGGAGGCAGCAGUAAGGAAUAUUGCGCAAUGGGCGAAAGCCUGACGCAGCGACGCCGCGUGGGGGAUGAAGGUCUUCGGAUUGUAAACCCCUUUCGGGAGGGAAGAUGGAACGAGCAAUCGUUCGGACGGUACCUCAGAAGCAGCCACGGCUAACUUCGUGCCAGCAGCCGCUGUAA